GUAGGUGAACCUGCGGAAGGAUCAUUAGUGAUAUAGAAAAUCUAUUUUCUAGUCUCUAUAUACACCCUUUGUCAACUCAUACCUUUGUUGCUUCCACUGGACAGAUGGAUACGCCUAGUGCGAGUCCAUCCUCUGGCCUCUUCACCGAGGACGGGGAGUGCCAGUGGAAAGAAUACAAUUAAAACUUUGUCUUUAGAAAACUUGUCUGACAAUUAUAUUUUUUAAUAAAAUAAAACUUUCAACAACGGAUCUCUAGGCUCUU
This 262-nucleotide unclassified non-coding RNA is filed under the name rhizosphere metagenome. RNAcentral's name for it is "partial ribosomal RNA internal transcribed spacer region". The record is from RNAcentral.